This 595-nucleotide ribosomal RNA is filed under the name Salmonella enterica. RNAcentral describes it as "bacterial SSU rRNA". It matches the Rfam family "Bacterial small subunit ribosomal RNA", at positions 1 to 585 of the family's 1533-position model. The record is from RNAcentral. Lineage: Bacteria; Pseudomonadati; Pseudomonadota; Gammaproteobacteria; Enterobacterales; Enterobacteriaceae.
AAAUUGAAGAGUUUGAUCAUGGCUCAGAUUGAACGCUGGCGGCAGGCCUAACACAUGCAAGUCGAACGGUAACAGGAAGCAGCUUGCUGCUUUGCUGACGAGUGGCGGACGGGUGAGUAAUGUCUGGGAAACUGCCUGAUGGAGGGGGAUAACUACUGGAAACGGUGGCUAAUACCGCAUAACGUCGCAAGACCAAAGAGGGGGACCUUCGGGCCUCUUGCCAUCAGAUGUGCCCAGAUGGGAUUAGCUUGUUGGUGAGGUAACGGCUCACCAAGGCGACGAUCCCUAGCUGGUCUGAGAGGAUGACCAGCCACACUGGAACUGAGACACGGUCCAGACUCCUACGGGAGGCAGCAGUGGGGAAUAUUGCACAAUGGGCGCAAGCCUGAUGCAGCCAUGCCGCGUGUAUGAAGAAGGCCUUCGGGUUGUAAAGUACUUUCAGCGGGGAGGAAGGUGUUGCGGUUAAUAACCGCAGCAAUUGACGUUACCCGCAGAAGAAGCACCGGCUAACUCCGUGCCAGCAGCCGCGGUAAUACGGAGGGUGCAAGCGUUAAUCGGAAUUACUGGGCGUAAAGCGCACGCAGGCGGUCUGUCA